AUAAUUAUUUCAAAAAUAGUAAUAUUUAUAUAUAAAAAUUAAUUUUAUUUAAUAUAUUUCAUUUUUAUAAGAGUAUAUAUAAAAUUUUAUGUAAAUUUUGUAAUAUUAUACAUAGAAAUAAUUAAAAGCAUUAUAUAUGUUUUUAUUUUUAAAUUAUUGUUAAAAUUUUAUAUAUAUUAAUAUUAUUUUUUAUUUAUUUUAAGGAUCCAAAUCCGGAUCCGGAUAUCCGCCGGAUAUUACAAUUUUUAGAAGGAUAUCCGACACCCGAAUAUCCGAGAACCCCGAAUCCGGAUAAAAAUAGAAAAAUUAUGAAUCCGCCGGAUACCCGAUCAGUCCCAGGCCUAUGGGGUGGGUUCAUAAUCAUAACUUAUAUUCCCUCUAUCUAUAAUAUAUCAUGUUUAAUUUCUUAAUUCUUUUUUGCAAAUUUUUAUGUAAAAGUUAAAUUUAUUUAAUCGGUAUAACUGUUUUUAUAUUUGUUAAAUUGUUUAUUAUUAAAUAUUAAAAUGUGUUAGUAUAAAAAAAUAAAAAAAAUAGUCUAAGAAUCAAAAAUAAAACAUAUAUGAAUUAUACAUUUUCUUAAAAUUUAAUUUUAAAAUACAUAACUUAUAUCUUUUCCGAAAUAUCUUAUAAAAUAGGAAAGAGAGAGUUAACAUCUAUAAACAUGUAAAAACAAUGUGUAUAUUUGUUGUUUGCUAAAUAUUGGUUGAACUAAACAUUUCAAAGAGUUGGAGAAUAGUAGAAAACCAAAGAGCUCAACCACUAAAUAAUCCAAGAAUCAAUACAAUACUAAAAGGGAAAUAAGAGCCUCAGUUAGGCCAUCCACGUAGGAUAAAAAAUCACCCAAUCAUAUUAUAAGGUUUUGCCACGUAAGCUACAGUUUGCGUUUUUAAAAAAUCUGUGGUGUUUAUAUGAUUGGGCCAGGAAGCCCAUCAAUCUGAUUCGUGAAACCCUUUGCUCUUCUUCUUCUUCGUUUCCGUUUCACGCGAUCAACUCAGAUAUCUCUGAUAGCAACUUCAUGCCUCCUUCUGUCUAAAUUGAAAGUCGGUGGCUUUGGUAAGAAAGUCCAGAUGCGUCUGUUUCGGUUUUGGGAGGCUCAUAAUGUGAAGAAAGGAGGACAGCUCAUGGGUGACACGCUCUUCAUCAAUUAAAAGAUGUUACUGUCACCGUAUCUCCCUAUUCGGCUUAUCCCGUGGAGACGCCGCCGCCUCGAACCACCUAGGACAUGAACGUUUGUAAAGCUUCUGGAGUUUUUAUUCUUCCAAUCUGCUGACAAAACAUAUGGGAGAUCGAUCGAAGGUGUUGUUAGUGACAACACCAAAAAUUUGAUUUAUGCAGUGGAAUCUUUACACGAGGAACUUCUGCCUGGAACAUGGAAGACUUUGACAGUACACCGAGACUGAAAGCUAGCUUCAAUUUGUUGAAAGAACGUAUACGUGGUAGUUUAGAGAAAAAAAAAUAACUCUGAGGUGGAAAUAUCUUCCUCUCAUUGAACCAACUACACUCGGUGAGAGUACGUUUUUCCCUGCAGAAUUUACCUUUUCCUUUUGUGAAUACACAAUGGAAUCCAUUGGUUUGAUUCACUUUCAGAAUUUCUUCAUUUUCUGUGGAUUUGUUUUUUUUUUUGGUUGAGCACAGAACCUGAUCAUAGCUUUGUUUGGGUUCCUUGGCGGUGAUACUACGGUUGAUGCUUUAUUUGUUGAUCUUGAGCCCACUGUUAUCGAUGAAGUCUGUACGGGAACUUACCGUCAGCUUUUCCAUCCUGAGCAGCUUAUCUUUUGGAACAACUUCACCGAAGGCAAUUAUACUGUGUUGCGGUUGUGGUGUGCUGAAGUUUUAGCUAAAGAUCUACCUCAAAUUUUUUCUUCAUUUUCUCCAUGGUCUCCAUUUUUUCUUCAUUUCUUGAAGUCACCACGGUUGACCCAACGAAUCUGGAACAUAUUAAUGAGAAUCACAUGCAUGAAGGAACAUAAGGAAUUGGGGAUGAGGAAUCUGCCAAGCCCGCCAGCAACACGAAUAAAGGAGCAAAAUGCGGUGGCGACGGAAUCAGAGCAGAUACAAGUGUCACACAUGAUGUGUGAUCUGUUUGGAUGAUUUCGAAGUAAACAUCUUUAGGAUUCUAGGUGGGAUGCAAGCGCGUGUUUCACGUGAGUGUAUAGACUCAUGGUGUUUUUGCAAGUUCAUGUGUCCAACUUGCAACGUACCAUUCCAGUGUUUCGUUAAUUGGUAAAGCUGGGUGAAAAGUUUAGGGCUUAAAUAUUUGGUAUCGUGCGAUUUGAUAAUAUCCGGCGAGAUCUUUUUCAAUUCUUAGCUUUUACCACUCAUAUUAGUUAGUAACAAACACUCAAGUUGCUAUUACUGUGGUGAUCAUUUUCUACCGUCUAUAUCAUGACCUACCCUCAGUUUAGUCUUUCAUAUUUUUAUCUGUAUGCUUAUACAGAAAAGUUGGUGAUUUUUUAUUUUUUUUUAACUUCAGGAUCAAUAUAUACUUUUGCUUUUGGAUUUCUUAUAUAGUGUUCUAAAUUUAUAAAUCCUCCCAUAAACAAAAAAAAAAUGGUUAUUAUACAUAAACUAAUCGAUUCUUUGAUGUAGUAAUAAGAAUAUUUAUUAGAAACUUUAUAUGGGGAUUUUUCUAGAUUCAAAUGCAUUAUAAUUUUUACAUGAACCAACUAAAAAUCCAUAUCAAAAUUUCAAUUGAGUUUCUAUAAAAAAAAUACAACAUUAUCCUACUAUCACAUUUCUUAUAUGAAUAUGUAAUUUAUAAAUGAUAAACUCAUGUGUAUCCCUAAAAAUACCCUAACGGGAUAUACCGACAAUGCAAAGUAUAUGCAGCUCCUUCGCGUCAAAUUAUGCAUAAAGAGGAUUCAUGGGUCCAGUGGAAGUUGCAUUAUGAAUGAUGUUCAUUAUUAUUAAAAAUGUAUACUUUGAAACUUAGAUAAAAAAAUGUGAUUGGUAUUUAUAGGUUACAUUUGGUUCACGAGUUUCGGUCUCAAAGUUUGGAAAAUAAUAAAUCAUUUAGUAAAAAAAGAAAUCAUGAGAGUAUAAAACUAAAACUUCACGACAACAUUUUUAGGCAUAUAUUAUUUUGUUUAAGCUUAAAAUUUUGUCAAACAUUCUACAGUAUUUGAUAGAAUAUUAAACAUCAUAUAUUUAAUAUAUAUAUAUUUUUUUAAAAAGAACAUAAUUAAUAUAUACAAAAUAUGAAUCGAAGAUAAAUAAAUGCUUUCAUUAAAUAAAAAUUUUAAAAUAAAUGAGAAUAACUAAAUAAUAGAAUGUCAGAAAACAUAUUAAUAACAAAUAAAAACUAAAACACAUCAAAAAUGUAAACAAUCAUCAAAUUUAAACUAAACAAAUAUAAUAUUUCCGCCCGUAGGGCGAACAAACCACUAGUAACAAAUAAAGCUCAUUCCAUCAUUUAUCGUGAACAAACCAUUGAAGCUAAACCAUUUAACCGGAUUUGCAAUUAAGACCAAACCCAAGAGGAAGUAAUGGGUCAUACAAAUUGGCAUCUUCACUUAGUGGCAACUGGUCAACACGCUUGAACCAACUCAUGGUAACUUCCCUUCGAAGUCCUCCUAAUCUCCAAAAAUGUGAACAGCAAUUGGAUUUGUGUUUACAGAAAUAUUUGAUUCAUUGUAUCAAUCUAUACGAAAGUUUUAUGUUAACAAAAAUUAUCAGAGAACUCAAUCUCUAACGAAUCAUCGUUUUUCUCAGAGUAAAUUACGGCAAAAUGUUAAAUAUCGUUACAGGUCAACUCUAUUGUCAAGUAUUGAGCUUCGAGACUCUAAUCUUAUUAUAAGGUUAAAAAAUCACCCAAUCAUAUUAUAAGGUUUUGCCACGUAAGCUACAGUUUGCGUUUUUAAAAAAUCUGUGGUGUUUAUAUGAUUGGGCCAGGAAGCCCAUCAAUCUGAUUCGUGAAACCCUUUGCUCUUCUUCUUCUUCGUUUCCGUUUCACGCGAUCAACUCAGAUAUCUCUGAUAGCAACUUCAUGCCUCCUUCUGUCUAAAUUGAAAGUCGGUGGCUUUGGUAAGAAAGUCCAGAUGCGUCUGUUUCGGUUUUGGGAGGCUCAUAAUGUGAAGAAAGGAGGACAGCUCAUGGGUGACACGCUCUUCAUCAAUUAAAAGAUGUUACUGUCACCGUAUCUCCCUAUUCGGCUUAUCCCGUGGAGACGCCGCCGCCUCGAACCACCUAGGACAUGAACGUUUGUAAAGCUUCUGGAGUUUUUAUUCUUCCAAUCUGCUGACAAAACAUAUGGGAGAUCGAUCGAAGGUGUUGUUAGUGACAACACCAAAAAUUUGAUUUAUGCAGUGGAAUCUUUACACGAGGAACUUCUGCCUGGAACAUGGAAGACUUUGACAGUACACCGAGACUGAAAGCUAGCUUCAAUUUGUUGAAAGAACGUAUACGUGGUAGUUUAGAGAAAAAAAAAUAACUCUGAGGUGGAAAUAUCUUCCUCUCAUUGAACCAACUACACUCGGUGAGAGUACGUUUUUCCCUGCAGAAUUUACCUUUUCCUUUUGUGAAUACACAAUGGAAUCCAUUGGUUUGAUUCACUUUCAGAAUUUCUUCAUUUUCUGUGGAUUUGUUUUUUUUUUUGGUUGAGCACAGAACCUGAUCAUAGCUUUGUUUGGGUUCCUUGGCGGUGAUACUACGGUUGAUGCUUUAUUUGUUGAUCUUGAGCCCACUGUUAUCGAUGAAGUCUGUACGGGAACUUACCGUCAGCUUUUCCAUCCUGAGCAGCUUAUCUUUUGGAACAACUUCACCGAAGGCAAUUAUACUGUGUUGCGGUUGUGGUGUGCUGAAGUUUUAGCUAAAGAUCUACCUCAAAUUUUUUCUUCAUUUUCUCCAUGGUCUCCAUUUUUUCUUCAUUUCUUGAAGUCACCACGGUUGACCCAACGAAUCUGGAACAUAUUAAUGAGAAUCACAUGCAUGAAGGAACAUAAGGAAUUGGGGAUGAGGAAUCUGCCAAGCCCGCCAGCAACACGAAUAAAGGAGCAAAAUGCGGUGGCGACGGAAUCAGAGCAGAUACAAGUGUCACACAUGAUGUGUGAUCUGUUUGGAUGAUUUCGAAGUAAACAUCUUUAGGAUUCUAGGUGGGAUGCAAGCGCGUGUUUCACGUGAGUGUAUAGACUCAUGGUGUUUUUGCAAGUUCAUGUGUCCAACUUGCAACGUACCAUUCCAGUGUUUCGUUAAUUGGUAAAGCUGGGUGAAAAGUUUAGGGCUUAAAUAUUUGGUAUCGUGCGAUUUGAUAAUAUCCGGCGAGAUCUUUUUCAAUUCUUAGCUUUUACCACUCAUAUUAGUUAGUAACAAACACUCAAGUUGCUAUUACUGUGGUGAUCAUUUUCUACCGUCUAUAUCAUGACCUACCCUCAGUUUAGUCUUUCAUAUUUUUAUCUGUAUGCUUAUACAGAAAAGUUGGUGAUUUUUUAUUUUUUUUUAACUUCAGGAUCAAUAUAUACUUUUGCUUUUGGAUUUCUUA
Brassica rapa (field mustard) is the source of this 5476-nucleotide long non-coding RNA. RefSeq lists it as uncharacterized. Lineage: Eukaryota; Viridiplantae; Streptophyta; Magnoliopsida; Brassicales; Brassicaceae. The record is from RefSeq and is a predicted model, not a curated record.